GGCAACUUUUGUACCAAAGUAGGUUCAUGAUUUUGUCUUAAUAUUGAUAGUUUUAUGUUUUCUUUAUUGUAAUGUUAUAAAAAUAAAAUGAGAAAAAUAUAUAUCCAGUUCUUGGAAUUUUGGGAGAAGAUGCUUAUAGAUAGAUAAUUAUGGAUUUAAAAAUGAUAACUCCAGCUUAAUCCCAUGCCCAAUUAUGGAUGAAUAUUUUAUUCUAAUGCAUGUUUUAUUACAUAGAUUUGGUUAUCACAGCUGAUUUUAGAUGGUCUUUAUAUGCCUAAUUUGUUGAUAAGCUACAUCAUGUUUUGUGCAAAACUGGCUUCUAUCAUUUAAUAAAAAAAUCUUCCUGGUAAAUCUGAAUAAUCAAUUGAUAUUGUAAGUUUUUCUAAUCAUUUAGCUACCCUUGUAUUGUUAAAGUGUUAGUUCACUAGUUUGCUUUUAGAACUUGUUUUCCCCUUAUUUGUGAGAUAAAUAAGUACGCUCAUGAAGAAAGUGCCUAGUGAGGUUUAUCCUCCUGUGUACCAGGUAAGAAUUGCUCUGUAUGGAACACUGAACUCAGCUUUUUGCCUAGGU
This 570-nucleotide unclassified non-coding RNA is filed under the name Hevea brasiliensis (rubber tree). The record is from RNAcentral. Lineage: Eukaryota; Viridiplantae; Streptophyta; Magnoliopsida; Malpighiales; Euphorbiaceae.